UUUACUUCUUGCACUUAUAAAUAUUUGUUGUUUUGAAUCCAGUUGAACAGGACCCAUCAUACGCAAAGAGAAAUUGCAAGAAAGGCAACUAGCCAAACUCCUCAAAUCUAUAAUUGUUUAAGCAGUUCUGGCACUAAGUACCGAUCAGUGCCGCACUGAGGAGGUAAGUAAUCUAAUUGAUCGGUUCACGUGGAUGAAUCCAACAACUUGAAUAAGGUCCUUCUAACUUUCAAGGCUAUUGACAAGUUAAAUUCUGUGGACGUUCCCAGAACUGCUUGACAAUGAAUAACCAACUAACGAACAUUUCUUGGUUACUUUAAGAAUAA
This 326-nucleotide long non-coding RNA is filed under the name Carica papaya (papaya). RNAcentral's name for it is "long non-coding RNA (CPAP_LNC008902)". Lineage: Eukaryota; Viridiplantae; Streptophyta; Magnoliopsida; Brassicales; Caricaceae. The record is from RNAcentral.